AACGAACGCUGGCGGCAUGCCUAACACAUGCAAGUCGAACGAGACCUUCGGGUCUAGUGGCGCACGGGUGCGUAACGCGUGGGAAUCUGCCCUUGGGUUCGGAAUAACAGUUGGAAACGACUGCUAAUACCGGAUGAUGACGUAAGUCCAAAGAUUUAUCGCCCAAGGAUGAGCCCGCGUAGGAUUAGCUAGUUGGUGAGGUAAAGGCUCACCAAGGCGACGAUCCUUAGCUGGUCUGAGAGGAUGAUCAGCCACACUGGGACUGAGACACGGCCCAGACUCCUACGGGAGGCAGCAGUGGGGAAUAUUGGACAAUGGGCGAAAGACUGAUCCAGCAAUGCAGCGUGAGUGAUGAAGGCCUUAGGGUUGUAAAGCUCUUUUACCCGGGAUGAUAAUGACAGUACCGGGAGAAUAAGCUCCGGCUAACUCCGUG
This 433-nucleotide ribosomal RNA is filed under the name uncultured bacterium. RNAcentral's name for it is "partial 16S ribosomal RNA". It matches the Rfam family "Bacterial small subunit ribosomal RNA", at positions 29 to 507 of the family's 1533-position model. The record is from RNAcentral.